CGGGGAUGACGUCAAGUCCUCAUGGCCCUUACAUCCCGGGCUACACACGUGCUACAAUGGCAGGUACAGAGGGCUGCGAAGCCGCGAGGUGGAGCGAAUCCCAGAAAACCUGUCUCAGUCCGGAUUGAAGUCUGCAACUCGACUUCAUGAAGGCGGAAUCGCUAGUAACCGCGAAUCAGCAGGUCGCGGUGAAUACGUUCCCGGGCCUU
RNAcentral lists this ribosomal RNA (209 nucleotides) under uncultured Latescibacterota bacterium. Its description in RNAcentral is "uncultured Latescibacteria bacterium partial 16S ribosomal RNA". It matches the Rfam family "Bacterial small subunit ribosomal RNA", at positions 1174 to 1382 of the family's 1533-position model. The record is from RNAcentral. Lineage: Bacteria; Pseudomonadati; Candidatus Latescibacterota.